This 463-nucleotide ribosomal RNA is filed under the name uncultured bacterium. Its description in RNAcentral is "partial 16S ribosomal RNA". It matches the Rfam family "Bacterial small subunit ribosomal RNA", at positions 28 to 507 of the family's 1533-position model. The record is from RNAcentral.
GAUGAACGCUGACAGAAUGCUUAACACAUGCAAGUCUUUGGCGAAGCUGUGCUUGCACAGCCUAGCCAAGGCGGACGGGUGAGUAACGCGUAAGGAACUUGCCCUGCAGUCAGGGAUAACAGACGGAAACGACUGAUAAGACCUGGUAAAGUCAGGCGGACUCAUGUCCAGCCUGAUGAAAAGUGAUGCUGCAGGAGAGCCUUGCGUCCUAUUAGCUUGUUGGUGGGGUAACGGCCCACCAAGGCGAUGAUAGGUAGCCGGCCUGAGAGGGUGGACGGCCACAAGGGGACUGAGAUACGGCCCUGACUCCUACGGGAGGCAGCAGUGGGGAAUAGUGGACAAUGGGGGCAACCCUGAUCCAGCAAUUCUGUGUGCACGAUGAAGGUUUUCGGAGUGUAAAGUGCUUUCAGCAGGGAAGAAAAAAAUGACGGUACCUGCAGAAGAAGCGACGGCUAAAUACGUG